AUCCGGGUUGCGGACAGUGUCUGGUGGGUAGUUUGACUGGGGCGGUCUCCUCCUAAAGAGUAACGGAGGAGCACGAAGGUUGGCUAAUCCUGGUCGGACAUCAGGAGGUUAGUGCAAUGGCAUAAGCCAGCUUGACUGCGAGCGUGACGGCGCGAGCAGGUGCGAAAGCAGGUCAUAGUGAUCCGGUGGUUCUGAAUGGAAGGGCCAUCGCUCAACGGAUAAAAGGUACUCCGGGGAUAACAGGCUGAUACCGCCCAAGAGUUCAUAUCGACGGCGGUGUUUGGCACCUCGAUGUCGGCUCAUCACAUCCUGGGGCUGAAGUAGGUCCCAAGGGUAUGGCUGUUCGCCAUUUAAAGUGGUACGCGAGCUGGGUUUAGAACGUCGUGAGACAGUUCGGUCCCUAUCUGCCGUGGGCGCUGGAGAACUGAGGGGGGCUGCUCCUAGUACGAGAGGACCGGAGUGGACGCAUCACUGGUGUUCGGGUUGUCAUGCCAAUGGCACUGCCCGGUAGCUAAAUGCGGAAGAGAUAAGUGCUGAAAGCAUCUAAGCACGAAACUUGCCCCGAGAUGAGUUCUCCCUGAGACUUAGAGUCUCCUGAAGGAACGUUGAAGACGACGACGUUGAUAGGCCGGGUGUGUAAGCGCAGCGAUGCGUUGAGCUAACCGGUACUAAUGAACCGUGAGGCUUAACCUUA
RNAcentral lists this ribosomal RNA (694 nucleotides) under Salmonella enterica subsp. enterica. RNAcentral describes it as "partial 23S ribosomal RNA". It matches the Rfam family "Bacterial large subunit ribosomal RNA", at positions 2238 to 2925 of the family's 2925-position model. The record is from RNAcentral. Lineage: Bacteria; Pseudomonadati; Pseudomonadota; Gammaproteobacteria; Enterobacterales; Enterobacteriaceae.